UUCCGGUUGAUCCCGCCGGACCUGACUGCUAUCGGAUUGAUACUAAGCCAUGCGAGUCUUUGCAGUAAUGCAAGGCAUACGGCUCAGUAACACGUAGUCAACUUACCCUAUGGACGAGGAUAAUCUCGGGAAACUGAGCAUAAUACUCGAUAGAUCAUAAUGCCUGGAAUGGUUUAUGGUUAAAAUGAUUCGUCGCCAUAGGAUGGGACUGCGGCCUAUCAGCUUGUUGGUGAGGUAAUGGCCCACCAAGGCGAUUACAGGUACGGGCUCUGAGAGGAGAAGCCCGGAGAUGGGUACUGAGACAAGGACCCAGGCCCUAUGGGGCGCAGCAGGCGAGAAAACUUUGCAAUGUGCGAAAGCACGACAAGGUUAAUCCGAGUGAUUUCUGCUAAAGAAAUCUUUUGCAAGUCAUAAAACCACUAGUGAAUAAGGGGUGGGCAAGUUCUGGUGUCAGCCGCCGCGGUAAAACCAGCACCUCAAGUGGUCAGGAGGAUUAUUGGGCCUAAAGCAUCCGUAGCCGGCUCUGUAAGUUUUCGGUUAAAUCCAUGUGCUCAACACAUGGGCUGCCGAAAAUACUGCAUAGCUAGGGAGUGGGAGAGGUAGACGGUACUCGGUAGGAAGGGGUAAAAUCCUUUGAUCUAUCGAUGACCACCUGUGGCGAAGGCGGUCUACCAGAACACGUUCGACGGUGAGGGAUGAAAGCUGGGGGAGCAAACCGGAUUAGAUACCCGGGUAGUCCCAGCUGUAAACGAUGCAGACUCGAUGAUGCAUUGGCAUAUAGCCAGUGCAGUGUCGCAGGGAAGCCGUUAAGUCUGCCGCCUGGGAAGUACGUACGCAAGUAUGAAACUUAAAGGAAUUGGCGGGGGAGCACCACAAGGGGUGAAGCCUGCGGUUCAAUUGGAUUCAACGCCGG
RNAcentral lists this ribosomal RNA (913 nucleotides) under uncultured marine archaeon. RNAcentral's name for it is "bacterial SSU rRNA". It matches the Rfam family "Archaeal small subunit ribosomal RNA", at positions 1 to 921 of the family's 1478-position model. The record is from RNAcentral.